Molecule: ribosomal RNA, 453 nt
Filed under: uncultured Desulfobulbus sp.
Lineage: Bacteria; Pseudomonadati; Thermodesulfobacteriota; Desulfobulbia; Desulfobulbales; Desulfobulbaceae
Description: bacterial SSU rRNA
Rfam family: Bacterial small subunit ribosomal RNA
Source: RNAcentral
GGAGUAUGUGGUUUAAUUCGAUGCAACGCGAAGAACUUACCUGGUCUUGACAUCCCGGAGACCCUUAGGAAACUAGGGGGUGCUUCCAUCUGGAAGAAUCUGGAGACAGGUGCUGCAUGGCUGUCGUCAGCUCGUGUCGUGAGAUGUUGGGUUAAGUCCCGCAACGAGCGCAACCCUUGCCUUUAGUUGCCAGCAGUUCGGCUGGGCACUCUAAAGGGACUGCCGGUGUUAAACCGGAGGAAGGUGGGGAUGACGUCAAGUCCUCAUGGCCUUUAUGACCAGGGCUACACACGUACUACAAUGGCCGAUACAAAGGGCAGCGACACUGCGAGGUGAAGCCAAUCCCGUAAAAUCGGUCUCAGUCCGGAUUGGAGUCUGCAACUCGACUCCAUGAAGUUGGAAUCGCUAGUAAUCGUGGAUCAGCAUGCCACGGUGAAUACGUUCCCGGGCCUU